CGACAUGACAUUGUUAUUGUUACUAGAAUAAAAUUGAAAUAAAAAAGAUCAAAACCAGUCUAUAAACGAGGAAUGCGAUAUUAUGGACAAUUUUGAGAGUUCAGGGGUAAUAUGAACCAAAUCAAAGUCCAAACUUCUAACAUAGACUCUACGAUACUUUAGGAGGGAAAAAUGAACUUAUCUAGCGGCAUCUAACUGAACUCCUGGCGCAUAAGGCCAUAUCCAAUGCUAGCCUCUUAUCCAUGCGCUUAACAUGAGAAAAAUAAAUAACAAAAAAAUGAAAAAUCGGUUAAACCACCCUCCGCUUUCAGAGUUGUGUGUGCUACUUCCAGGCGCCAAACCACCCUCCGAUUCUCCUUUCGCAAGCCAAUGCCAGAGUUGUGAAGCUCUCAAGGAAUUCCGAAAGGUCGUCAUCGAGCAUUGUCCAAAAGAGUAUAAUCAGGCAGCGGAUGAGCUAGCUAGGGUAGUUAGGAUUGAUCCACCGAAUGUUUGGUUGGAUGAUCUUGCGAGUUUUCUUAUUCCUCUCCUUAUCGAUGAUGUUACCCUUAUUUGAGUAUUAAUAAAGCUAGCCACGAUGGUUUUCCUUAAGAAAAAGCGAUCGGCAAUUAAUUAGGCAACAACGCUACUCCCUGAGAUCGAACAGAUCGACCCACGUCAGAUUAAUUAGGCGAUUAAUAUAGGGCGCAAAAUUUUUAGCGUGAAUAUUAACGCAGCACCGAACAGAUCGACCCACGUCACAACUGCCGAAAAUCUCGCUAGCGCCCUUGCAAUUAGGAGAAAGAGAUCCAAUUAGCAUUUCCCACGUAUGCAAACGGAACGAAACUGCAUAUCUUUCCUCACGUAUGCAACGGCUGGUGCGGUUUUCUCGUUCGCAUGCAACUCGCGCGGGGCGCGUGGAAGGUCAGCCCGAACAUGCCCGCCUUAUAUUUCGAAAACUGUUUCGAAAUUUUAUACGCCCUACAUAAAAAACCGGAGGAAGUACGUGAUAAGCUG
RNAcentral lists this long non-coding RNA (993 nucleotides) under Brachypodium distachyon (stiff brome). RNAcentral's name for it is "long non-coding RNA (BDIS_LNC001444)". The record is from RNAcentral. Lineage: Eukaryota; Viridiplantae; Streptophyta; Magnoliopsida; Poales; Poaceae.